Molecule: ribosomal RNA, 147 nt
Filed under: uncultured archaeon
Lineage: Archaea
Description: partial 16S ribosomal RNA
Rfam family: Archaeal small subunit ribosomal RNA
Source: RNAcentral
AUAGGCGAAAGCUGGACAGGGUUACUCUGAGUGAUUUCCGUUAAGGAGAUCUUUUGGCGCCUCUAGAAAUGGUGCGGAAUAAGGGGUGGGCAAGUCUGGGGUCAGCCGCCGCGGUAAUACCAGCACCCCGAGUGGUCGGGACGUUUA